Molecule: ribosomal RNA, 253 nt
Filed under: uncultured bacterium
Lineage: Bacteria
Description: partial 16S ribosomal RNA
Rfam family: Bacterial small subunit ribosomal RNA
Source: RNAcentral
UACGGGGGGGGCAAGCGUUGUUCGGAAUUACUGGGCGUAAAGGGUCUGUAGGUGGCCAAUUAAGUCAGACGUGAAAUCCCUCGGCUUAACCGGGGAACUGCGUCUGAUACUGGAUGGCUUGAGUUUGGGAGAGGGAUGCGGAAUUCCAGGUGUAGCGGUGAAAUGCGUAGAUAUCUGGAGGAACACCGGUGGCGAAGGCGGCAUCCUGGACCAACACUGACGCUGAGGAGCGAAAGCCAGGGGAGCAAACGGG